RNAcentral lists this ribosomal RNA (432 nucleotides) under uncultured bacterium. Its description in RNAcentral is "partial 16S ribosomal RNA". It matches the Rfam family "Bacterial small subunit ribosomal RNA", at positions 29 to 506 of the family's 1533-position model. The record is from RNAcentral.
AACGAACGCUGGCGGCAUGCCUAAUACAUGCAAGUCGAACGAGAUCUUCGGAUCUAGUGGCGCACGGGUGCGUAACGCGUGGGAAUCUGCCCUUGGGUUCGGAAUAACUUCUGGAAACGGAAGCUAAUACCGGAUGAUGACGUAAGUCCAAAGAUUUAUCGCUCAAGGAUGAGCCCGCGUAGGAUUAGGUAGUUGGUGAGGUAAAGGCUCACCAAGCCGACGAUCCUUAGCUGGUCUGAGAGGAUGAUCAGCCACACUGGGACUGAGACACGGCCCAGACUCCUACGAGAGGCAGCAGUAGGGAAUAUUGGACAAGGGGCGUAAGCCUGAUCCAGCAAUGCCGCGUGAGUGAUGAAGGCCUUAGGGUUGUAAAGCUCUUUUACCCGGGAUGAUAAGGACAGUACCGGGAGAAUAAGCUCCGGCUAACUCCGU